RNAcentral lists this ribosomal RNA (366 nucleotides) under uncultured eukaryote. RNAcentral's name for it is "partial 18S ribosomal RNA". It matches the Rfam family "Eukaryotic small subunit ribosomal RNA", at positions 592 to 976 of the family's 1831-position model. The record is from RNAcentral.
CAAUAGCGUAUAUUAACGUUGUUGCAGUUAAAAAGCUCGUAGUUGGAUUUCUGGAGGGAGCGUCGGCCCGUAUUUACGAGUGCGUGACGUCUCUGUCCAUCCUUGCGGGAAGGCACGGCAUUGAUUUGUUGUGUCGGAUCGCAUCAUUUACUGUGAAAAAAUUAGAGUGUUCAAAGCAGGCUUUCGCUUGAAUACAUUAGCAUGGAAUAAUAAGAUAGGACUUUGGUGCUAUUUUGUUGGUUGAGCCUGAAGUAAUGAUUAAUAGGGAUAGUUGGGGGCACCUGUAUUGCGUUGUCAGAGGUGAAAUUCUUGGAUUUACGCAAGACAAACAGCUGCGAAAGCGUCUGCCAAGGAUGUUUUCAUUAA